Molecule: long non-coding RNA, 1382 nt
Filed under: Ursus americanus (American black bear)
Lineage: Eukaryota; Metazoa; Chordata; Mammalia; Carnivora; Ursidae
Description: lncRNA (ENSUAMG00000000501.1)
Source: RNAcentral
GCCGCGGAACAAGUACAAGCACACCCUCAUCGCCACGACUGCGACUCCGCGGCGGAGCAGCCUGCCGGGCCGUGGGCAAGUGCACAGAGCGGGCUUUGAGGAUCGUCGUGCCAUUCACAUGUAGACGUGGCCGCGGCGUUCGCAUGAGGUCUACGGUCUUGUACGCAGAUGCUUUCCACUGAAGUCGGUAGAUGCACACCACUGUGCGUCCGUCCUGGGUGCAGGGAGCGGACAGGACAGGGGGCCCUUGGGCAGUCUUGUUAGUUCAGGAGAACGUGGAAGGGACGGGAAGAUUCAUCCAGAAAGCCCUACCUGAUCUUCAGUUUUUAUUUCAAAUGCUAAAUGAGAAAACUGUCCAUUUUCUGAAACCCUCCAGAAAAGAAACUGGUUAUCAGCAGCUGCCUAAUUGUUACACUAACAAUCUAGCUUUAACAAAAGCAAAUUUUUUAUUUUUUAAAUGCAGUGAAUUUUUCAAAAAUUAAAGCUAAGCAAAGCAGCUUUAGCCUCAGUUAGAAAAAAUUAUUUCUUUGGACUCAAGCUGACAUACAAGCCUUACAUCGCCUUAUGCUUUUAUUUCUUUAUAAUGUUUUUAUAUAUAAAGAUAAGGGUUCUUUAGUGGGUUUUGAGCACUGUGUAGACUUGUGCAUCUGGCCCGAAGGGCAGCAUGCCUGCACCACUGGUGUGUUUUAUUUCGCUGAUGCUUCAUCCUGGUGUAUGAAGCUUGCUUCUCUCUCCUCUCAAGGACCAGGGCAGCUCCUGCUGGCCAGAGGGCUUCUGGGCCGGUGGGGGGGGGGGGCAGGAGAAAGAAAAGCCAACACCCUCCAUAGACGGCUGAUGCAUUACUGGUCCUUGGUCCCAACCUGCCUGUUUGCUGCAUGCUGGGGACGAGUGAGAAGCAGAUGGGCCCUGCAUGGGGUUGGCCGGAACUCUGCUGUCGCCUUUUCUCAGGAGCUACAAAGAUCUCAUUCCCGUUCAGAAGCUGCCACACCCCAGCAGCCUUGUGGUCAGGGCCCCACGUGUGGGGUGUGUCUGGAGGGGUAGCUCCGUGCCUUACUGGCUCCCAGCAGGCAGAGACCGCUCCUGCGCACACGCCUGUGCACUUGCUGGGGCGGCGGGCCAUGGGCUCAGAGUCCACUCUGGUAGACCAUGGUGUACUCUCUGGUAAGCUGGUGUCUGCGGGCUGCUUCCAACUCCCUGGUGGACUGCAGUCUGUGCUGGUGCCAUGGGAAGAACAGCAUUGGGCGUUUUUUUCUUCAGGGUUAAAAUCAGGGAUAGGGUGUGGUGAGAAAGCAGGAUGCAACUGUAGUAAUUGAAAUUUAUCUUUUCCUUAAAGUGGAUAAUGGGUAAUUUGUCAAUAAAGCAUUCCUUUGGGGAAGAACCCA